Molecule: long non-coding RNA, 103 nt
Organism: Aricia agestis (brown argus)
Lineage: Eukaryota; Metazoa; Arthropoda; Insecta; Lepidoptera; Lycaenidae
Exons: 3
Source: RefSeq, a predicted model, not a curated record
CUUUUUCAUGAACUAUACCUUUCCCAUAAAGUUAAUAUACCUAGCGGAGUAGAGAACCAAAGGCCUGAGCAAACGAGAUGUCACUAACAGUAUCACUGCGUGG